CAGGUGAAUGAUCUAGUAGAGGUAGUGGGAACUCUGCUUCAGCAGAUUCAAGGAGGGGCGUGUGUAGUAGGAUCUGGAUGUGGGUUCAUCUUCUUGGGCUAGGCCUGUGGUAGGGGAAAGGGGAAUUUAGAGAGAUAACUGUCCGCUUUGAGUAGGCUGUUGAUUACUCCCCGCCCUCUGCCAGAUACCUCCUUCCCAUGAGGAACAAGGCCAGUAAACGUAAAACUCCUGUGAUGAAGAAGACCCUGAAUCCUCACUACAACCAUACAUUUGUCUACAAUGGUGUGAGGCUGGAAGAUCUACAACAUAUGUGCCUGGAACUGACUGUGUGGGACCGGGAGCCCCUGGCCAGCAAUGACUUCCUGGGAGGGGUCAGGCUGGGUGUUGGCACUGGGAUCAGUAAUGGGGAAGUGGUGGACUGGAUGGACUCGACUGGGGAAGAAGUGAGCCUGUGGCAGAAGAUGCGACAGUACCCAGGGUCUUGGGCAGAAGGGACUCUGCAGCUCCGUUCCUCAAUGGCCAAGCAGAAGCUGGGUUUAUGAGUCCCUGUCCUCUUCUGCAGGUCCAGCCCUGGCGAGGGCAAGUCAGAGGAAGUGAAGAAAUCAAGAGCAAAGAUUUAUAAUUUAAUGUGUGUGUGUGUGUGUGUGUGUGUGUGUGUGUGUGUCUGUGUACAAACAUGUAUUUUCUGCAAAUCUCAUUGUGCUGGCUGGAGUGAUGCAGACUUGUUCUCCUUUUUAAAGCAGUCUCAAGAAUAAGCAUUUCUUCAAAAUGUUUCUGUGUAUAGUAUAUUUUCAGAGUCCAUUUUUUCUUAUGUCUUUAUAAGAUUUACUUAACUUAAAAACAGCUAUUUUAAAACAACCUUUUAUCUUCUGUCUUGCUAUCAUUGUUCCUACUUCCCUAGGAAGCCCUGGCUACCUUUGGCAUUAGGACCAGUCUGGGUUUUAAGGCUCUGGGAAGCAGGGUUGGGUUAGUAAAGACAGGAAUGUGGGGGAGAGGUGAGUAGUUCCUUCUUCUUUCUCCUCUCCAAUUUAUGCUUUUAACUUGUUUUCUACCUUGAUAAACUUCUGGAACUUGGCUUUUAAAUUUAACUUUUCUAGUUUUUAAGCAGUUUCCACCUUGCUUUGGUCUAAUGCUUUUCUUUGAAAUGCUAACAGAAUUCCCAAGCUUUUUCCAGUUCUAGGUAUCUUUACUAGACCUUUGGGGGACUCUUAUAAUGGAGCUGCUUUCGAAAAGCACUUUAAUUAGAUAAUGUAUUUUGACUAAAUCAUGAGGAUGCCCAGUGACAGCUUCUAGCUGAUCUCAGAGGACCAGAGUGACUGAGGGUAAAGUGUCUCACAGCCCAUGCUGAAUUUUCUGCAUUUUAAACUGAUACUGCAGUCAUUGGAGAGAGAGCUCCUCAUUUCUCGAAUGAAAGAUGAGAUAUAUUCAUCCUCAUGUACCACAUCUGUCUUAGUGUUUGCGUCUGGGGUGUGUUAUCUAACAGAGCAUGGUCUACAUACCACUGUGUCAACCAGAAGAACCAAGUGUUAUCUCAAUUGGCCCAGUGUUUCUCCAGGCUGGGGACUGUUAAGGGCUCUAAGGGAAUGUAGACAGAGUCUCCCUGUUAUUCUGACUUCCUGCUUGAUGAGCUUUCAGUUCCUGUUUUUGCUAUUGUUUCCUAAAUUUGACCUACAUAUUACAUGGGUGUAGUGUGUUGAGGCUUUUCAAAGAAGGGUCUAGUGAGCUAAGUUUCAUCUUCUGGUACUCAUUGAUCCAAACUGACCUUUCUAUUCUCAUAAGCGUUUCUACCCCAAGUUGUGUGUGGAAGGAGUGUAUAGCAGAGAGGAAAUCCCCUUCAACAGAGUCAGCUGCUAACUGAUUUCCUAUAAGCACACUGGAUUAAGGGCAGCUACAAUGUUGUCUAUUGUAUGUAUGAACCGAAUGGAGGAACGUUUUCAAAGAUUGAUUUGGUGUGGAUUGCAAUUGUAAUGGAAGGCAUAACUUGGGAUCCUGGGCUGUAACUUGCUCUUUUGUUUCCCACCCCCCUGACAUGUACGUGUGCUUUAAUAAAGCUUUCUCACUUGUC
RNAcentral lists this small RNA (2065 nucleotides) under Pongo abelii (Sumatran orangutan). RNAcentral describes it as "processed transcript". Lineage: Eukaryota; Metazoa; Chordata; Mammalia; Primates; Hominidae. The record is from RNAcentral.